CCCUUAGAUGUCCUGGGCUGCACGCGCGAUACACUGAUGUGUCCAGUAAGCACCUAACCUCUUCCGAAAGGAACGGGUAACCUUUGCAAAGCACAUCGUGAUGGGGAUAGAUUAUUGCAAUUAUUAGUCUUGAACGAGGAAUUCCUAGUAAGCACAAGUCAUCAGCUUGUGUUGAUUACGUCCCUGCCCUUUGUACACACCGCCCGUCGCUCCUACCGAUUGAAUGUUCCGGUGAGCUCUUCGGACUGCGCGGUCUGCAGUUUCUGCGUUCCGUGCGGAAAGUUGCGCAAACCUUAACAUUUAGAGGAAGGAGAAGUCGUAACA
This 324-nucleotide ribosomal RNA is filed under the name uncultured eukaryote. RNAcentral describes it as "partial 18S ribosomal RNA". It matches the Rfam family "Eukaryotic small subunit ribosomal RNA", at positions 1470 to 1796 of the family's 1831-position model. The record is from RNAcentral.